This 687-nucleotide ribosomal RNA is filed under the name Bacillus subtilis. Its description in RNAcentral is "bacterial SSU rRNA". It matches the Rfam family "Bacterial small subunit ribosomal RNA", at positions 163 to 833 of the family's 1533-position model. Lineage: Bacteria; Bacillati; Bacillota; Bacilli; Caryophanales; Bacillaceae. The record is from RNAcentral.
CUAAUAUUGGAUGGUUGUUUGAACCGCAUGGUUCAAACAUCCAAAGUGGCUUCUGCUACCACUUACGGAUGGACCCGCGGCGCAUUAGCUAGUUGGUGAGGUAACGGCUCACCAAGGCGACGAUGCGUAGCCGACCUGAGAGGGUGAUCGGCCACACUGGGACUGAGACACGGCCCAGACUCCUACGGGAGGCAGCAGUAGGGAAUCUUCCGCAAUGGACGAAAGUCUGACGGAGCAACGCCGCGUGAGUGAUGAAGGUUUUCGGAUCGUAAAGCUCUGUUGUUAGGGAAGAACAAGUACCGUUCGAAUAGGGCGGUACCUUGACGGUACCUAACCAGAAAGCCACGGCUAACUACGUGCCAGCAGCCGCGGUAAUACGUAGGUGGCAAGCGUUGUCCGGAAUUAUUGGGCGUAAAGGGCUCGCAGGCGGUUUCUUAAGUCUGAUGUGAAAGCCCCCGGCUCAACCGGGGAGGGUCAUUGGUAUCUGGUGAACUUGAGUGCAGAAGAGGAGAGUGGAAUUCCACGUGUAGCGGUGAAAUGCGUAGAGAUGUGGAGGAACACCAGUGGCGAAGGCGACUCUCUGGUCUGUAACUGACGCUGAGGAGCGAAAGCGUGGGGAGCGCACAAGGAUUAGAUACCCUGGUAGUCCACGCCGAAAAACGAUGAGUGCUAAGUGUUAGGGGGGUU